Molecule: non-coding RNA, 255 nt
Organism: Camelina sativa (false flax)
Lineage: Eukaryota; Viridiplantae; Streptophyta; Magnoliopsida; Brassicales; Brassicaceae
Source: RefSeq, a predicted model, not a curated record
UUGAAAAAAGGAAGUCAAUUACUCAAGUAUAGCCGCAAAGGAAGGCCAAAGUUUCGCUCAUUCAGGCUUGCGCCGGAUGAAUCGACAUUGUUUUGGCUCUCACACGGAGAAGAAAAAGGUUUGAAGUUAUCUACAGUUUCGCGAAUUCUCCCUGGACAAAGAACUGCUGUUUUUCGGAGAUAUCUACGCCCAGAAAAGGAUUACUUGUCAUUUUCUCUCAUAUAUCACAACGGAGAUAGAUCUCUUGAUCUGGUU